Molecule: long non-coding RNA, 1017 nt
Organism: Octopus bimaculoides (California two-spot octopus)
Lineage: Eukaryota; Metazoa; Mollusca; Cephalopoda; Octopoda; Octopodidae
Source: RefSeq, a predicted model, not a curated record
AGGAACAUAAAACGACUAGAGAACUGAAGUGAUAUUUAUUUUAUCGAUUCCCAGAAGGAUAAAAAGCAAAGAUGACCUCAGCGGAUUUUGAACUCAGAGAGUACAAAAGAGCUGUAACUAAAAACCAGCAGGCAUUUUCUCUGUUGUACAAACGAUUCUACCAAUCCACCGCCAAAGAGUUCAAACAGUGGGAUAAAUUGAAAUCUUUUCAUAAGAGAUUUCCACAUGUUGCUUAUUGAAGAAUUCUCAGAUGUUUGUUUAGAAACGAAGCUGAGACUUGUGCACACCGAACGGAAACUAACAAAGACAUCUAUAGACAUACAUAAGUAAUCAAUAAGAAAAAAAAAUUCAAUAUACAAAAGCUAAGAACAUUUGUACGUCUAUGUAUGCAUGCGCGUGUGUAGGUGUGUAUAUGUAUACGUAUGUGUAUGUUUGGCUGCUAUUUUCUUUUCCUUUCUUUUCUCUCUCGUUAGUGAGAGCUAACCCUUAUGUUAUCCAUAUCUACGACGAUCGUUACAUUUACUAAGAAGCCAAAUUAGUGUUCUAGGUUUAUAUCUCUAACGUCAGUGAGGGCGCGUAAUGAUGUAAGAAGAGACAUUCAACUGGUUUAUUCAACAAAAGUUCAGAUAAUUUAAGAAAACUAGUGCCAAAGAUGCCAUUUUCAACAUCGUUGACGUUGAAACAACUUCUCGCCUUCAUACAAAAAAAAAAAGACAAACGGAUGAAAUAUAUUUGUACAGCUUUGAGGAAGAAUGAAAAUAAAUCAAUAGGAAAAUGUUUGUAGUAUUGGUUCUAUUAAACCUCAUCGUAUUACCUUUAAUUUUUUACGUUGUACUAAGCUUGCUUUUGGAUACACUUAUAGCUACAACCUCCCUGUUAGUGUUCUUAGGUAUGAUAGCAGCAAAUAUCAUAAUGAUCCAAUCUUCGAACUAUAUCUACAAACUAAUCGUUACAGUUGUAUAUUACAUUCUAGCGUUUAUUUUCCUUGAAUAAAACUUCUGUUUAUGUUAUCUUUUA